GCUAGCUACAGGCUUAACACAUGCAAGUCGAGGGUUAGCAUGGUCUUAGCUUGCUAAGGCCGAUGGCGACCGGCGCACGGGUGAGUAACACGUAUCCAACCUGCCGUCUACUCUUGGACAGCCUUCUGAAAGGAAGAUUAAUACAAGAUGGCAUCAUGAGUCCGCAUGUUCACAUGAUUAAAGGUAUUCCGGUAGACGAUGGGGAUGCGUUCCAUUAGAUAGUAGGCGGGGUAACGGCCCACCUAGUCUUCGAUGGAUAGGGGUUCUGAGAGGAAGGUCCCCCACAUUGGAACUGAGACACGGUCCAAACUCCUACGGGAGGCAGCAGUGAGGAAUAUUGGUCAAUGGGCGAGAGCCUGAACCAGCCAAGUAGCGUGAAGGAUGACUGCCCUAUGGGUUGUAAACUUCUUUUAUAAAGGAAUAAAGUCGGGUAUGGAUACCCGUUUGCAUGUACUUUAUGAAUAAGGAUCGGCUAACUCCGUGCCAGCAGCCGCGGUAAUACGGAGGAUCCGAGCGUUAUCCGGAUUUAUUGGGUUUAAAGGGAGCGUAGAUGGAUGUUUAAGUCAGUUGUGAAAGUUUGCGGCUCAACCGUAAAAUUGUAGUUGAUACUGGAUAUCUUGAGUGCAGUUGAGGCAGGCGGAAUUCGUGGUGUAGCGGUGAAAUGCUUAGAUAUCACGAAGAACUCCGAUUGCGAAGGCAGCCUGCUAAGCUGCAACUGACAUUGAGGCUCGAAAGUGUGGGUAUCAAACAGGAUUAGAUACCCUGGUAGUCCACACGGUAAACGAUGAAUACUCGCUGUUUGCGAUAUACAGCAAGCGGCCAAGCGAAAGCGUUAAGUAUUCCACCUGGGGAGUACGCCGGCAACGGUGAAACUCAAAGGAAUUGACGGGGGCCCGCACAAGCGGAGGAACAUGUGGUUUAAUUCGAUGAUACGCGAGGAACCUUACCCGGGCUUAAAUUGCAGAUGAAUUACGGUGAAAGCCGUAAGCCGCAAGGCAUCUGUGAAGGUGCUGCAUGGUUGUCGUCAGCUCGUGCCGUGAGGUGUCGGCUUAAGUGCCAUAACGAGCGCAACCCUUGUUGUCAGUUACUAACAGGUUCCGCUGAGGACUCUGACAAGACUGCCAUCGUAAGAUGUGAGGAAGGUGGGGAUGACGUCAAAUCAGCACGGCCCUUACGUCCGGGGCUACACACGUGUUACAAUGGGGGGUACAGAGGGCCGCUACCACGCGAGUGGAUGCCAAUCCCCAAAACCUCUCUCAGUUCGGACUGGGGUCUGCAACCCGACUCCACGAAGCUGGAUUCGCUAGUAAUCGCGCAUCAGCCACGGCGCGGUGAAUACGUUCCCGGGCCUUGUACACACCGCCCGUCAAGCCAUGGGAGCCGGGGGUACCUGAAGUGCGUAACCGCGAGGAGCGCCCUAGGGUAAAACUGA
This 1432-nucleotide ribosomal RNA is filed under the name uncultured organism. RNAcentral describes it as "16S ribosomal RNA". It matches the Rfam family "Bacterial small subunit ribosomal RNA". The record is from RNAcentral.